This 2090-nucleotide long non-coding RNA is filed under the name Homo sapiens (human). RNAcentral describes it as "non-protein coding lnc-FAIM-3:1". The record is from RNAcentral. Lineage: Eukaryota; Metazoa; Chordata; Mammalia; Primates; Hominidae.
ACUUGUUAUUGGUAUCUUUGUUUUCUAUUUCUUCCUGGUUCAAUGUUGGUAGGUUGCAUGUGUCCAGGAAUGUAUAUAUUUCCAGUAGGUUUUCCAUUUUUGUUAUUGUAUAGUUGCUCAUAAUUGUCUCUAAUGAUCUUUUGUAUUUCUGUUGCAUCCGUUGUAAUUUUUUUUUUAGAUGAAGUUUUGCUUCUGUUGCCCAAGCUGAAGUGCAAUGGCGUGAUCUCAGCUCACCACAACCUCUGCCUCCCAGGUUCAAGCAAUUCUCCUACCUCAGUCUCCCGAGUAGCUGGGAUUACAGGCAUGAGCCACCAUACCUGGCUAAUUUUGUAUUUUUAGUAGAGACAGGGUUUCUCCAUGUUGGUCAGGCUGGUAUUGAACUCCCGACCUCAGGUAAUUUGCCUGCCUCGGCCUCCCAAAGUGCUGGGAUUACAGGUGUCAGCCACCGUGACCAGCCAUGUCUCUUUUUUUACUUCUAUUUGUUUGGAUCCUUUUUCUUGGUUAGACUAGCUAGUGGUUUAUUGAUUGAGUUUAUAUUUUCAAAGAACCAAUUUUUCAUUUUGUUGAUUCUUUGUAUUGUUUUUUUCAGUUUCUAUUUCAUUUUGCUUUGCUUUGCUCUUUAUUCUUUCUUUCCUUUUACUAAUUUUAGGUUUAGUCUGUUCUUGCUUUUCUAGUUUUUUGAGGUGGAUUUUUUAGGUUGUUUAUUCAACAUCUUUCUACUUUUCAGGUAUAGACGUUAAUUGCUAUAAACUUCCCUCUUAGCAUUGCUUUUUCUGUGUCACAAAGGUUUUGGUAUGUUUUUCCAUUUUCAUUUGUUUCAAGAAUUUUUACUUUCUUUCUUAAUUUUUACAUUGACCCAUUGGUUAUUCAGGUGUAUGUUGUUUAAUUUCCACAUAUUUGUUCCCAAAGUUCCUGUUGUUGAUUCCUAAUUUUCACUGUGGUCUUAGAAGAUACUUGAUAUGAUUUCAAUUUUUAAAACUUUCUUGAGGCUUGUUUUAUGGCCUAACAUAUGGUCCAUCCUGGAGAAUGUUCCAUGUGUUCAUGAGAAGAAUUUAUUUUCUGCUGCUGUUGCCUGAAAUGUUCUCUAAAUGUUAGAUCCAUUUGGUCUAAAGUGCAGUUUAAAUCCAAUGUUUCUUGAAUUUCUGUCUAGAUAAUCUCUUCCAUGCUGAAUGUGGGAGUGGUGAAAUCCCCAACUAUUGUUGUAUUAGCCUGUCUUUUUAGCUGUAAUAAUAUUUGUUUUAUAUAUUUUGGUUUCUGAUGUUGGGUGCAUAGAUAUUUACAAUUGUUAUAUCCUCUUGCCUAAUUGAUUCCUUUAUUAUAAUUUUCUUGUCUCAUUUUUUUUGACUUAAACUCUCCUUUGAUAUAAGUGUAGCUACUCCUGCAUGCUUUUGUUUUGUUUGCAUGAGGUAUUUUUUUCCAUCCCUUCAUUUUCAGUCUAUGUGUCUUUAUAGGUGAGAUGAGUUUCAUGUAGACAGCAUAUAUCUGGGUCUUAUUUUUGUUAGCCAUUCAGCCAGUCUAUAUCUUUUAGUUGGGGGAGCUUAAACUUUGACAUUCCAGCUUGUUAUUAAUAGGUGAGGACUUCCUGUCAUUUUGUUGUUUUCUGAUUGUUCUGAAUAUCCUUUCUUCCUUUAUUCUUCUUUUACUUUCUUUUAUGAUCUGGUGGUUUUUUUUUUUUUUUUUUUUUUUUUUAGAGUAACAACACUCCUAUUCCUGUUUUGUGUAUCUGCUCUACACUACUUUUGUUAAGUUUUCAUGAUGGUAGAUGUUGUCCUUUUGUUUCCUGGUGUAGGGCUCCCUUAAAUAUUUCUUGUGGGGCUAGUCUAGUGGUAAUGAAUUAUCUCCAUUUUUGUUUUUCUGAGAAAGACUACUUUCCCUUCAUUUUUCCAGGAUACCUUUGCUGGACACAGGAUUCUUGGUUGACAGUUUCUUUUUUUUUUUUUCUCUCAGUACUUUGACUAUUUUAUUCCUUUCUCUCCUGACCUACAAAGAUUCUGCUGAGAAAUUCAUUGUUAGUCUCAUGGAGAUUCCCUUAUAUGUGGUUUGAUGCUUUUUUUUUUAAAUUAUACUUUAAGUUCUAGGGUACAUGUGCA